Molecule: RNA transcript, 873 nt
Organism: Fragaria vesca subsp. vesca
Lineage: Eukaryota; Viridiplantae; Streptophyta; Magnoliopsida; Rosales; Rosaceae
Gene name: 60S ribosomal protein L13-2-like
Exons: 4
Source: RefSeq, a predicted model, not a curated record
AUGGUGAAGCACAACAAUGUUAUCCCAGGGGAGCACUUCAGGAAGCACUGGCAGAACUAUGUCAAGACAUGGUUCAACCAGCCGGCAAGGAAGACCAGGAGGAGAGUUGCUCGCCAGAAGAAAGCUGUGAAGAUCUUCCCUAGGUCUACUGCUGGACCUUUGCAUCCGGUUCUUCGUGGGCAGACUUUGAAGUAUAACAUGAAAGUCAGGGCUGGCCGCGACUUCACUUUGGAGGAGUUGAAGGCAGCUGGUAUCCCAAGGAAACUUGCAGCAACCAUUGGAAUCUCAGUGACCAUCGCAGGAAGAAUCGUUCUCUUGAGGGGUUUCAAGUUAAUGUACUUCGUCUGAAGACUUACAAGCAAAAAUUAGUCGUCUUCCCAAGGCGUGCUGGCAAGUUUAAGGCCGGUGACUCUGCAGCAGAGGAACUUGCAAAUGCAGCCUAGGUCCAAGGUCCUCUCUUGCCCAUCGACCGUGAGAAACCAACCUGUGAGCUUGUGAAGGUUACUAAAGAUUUGACUGCAGGCAAUGCAUAUGACAAGCUUCGCGUGGAACGUGUGAAUGUACGUCAUGUUGGGGCCAAAGAGGGCAGCUGAGGCUGAAAAGGAAGAGAAGAAGUAGAAAACUUGUCUUUUAUAUCAAUUUGCAAGGUUGGUUAUGUGUUGCAAGAUUUUGCAAUCUAAGCGUCCUUAUUUUACUGGGGAUCCUAAGUUUAGAAUUUUGUAAUGUCAUUGUUUGGGUUUUUAUUCUUGAAAAUAUGAUGAGCAAUUAGACUUUCACUUCUAGUUUAUUUUCUUUCUUUGUCGGGUACUUUGAUCUUAUGGUUAAUCAUGCUAUUUUCAAAGAUUGUCAUGGUCUCUUUGUAGACUAAAAGAU